GACGAACGCUGGCGGCAUGCCUAACACAUGCAAGUCGAACGAGAUCCUUCGGGGUCUAGUGGCGCACGGGUGCGUAACGCGUGGGAAUCUGCCCUUAGGUACGGAAUAACUCAGGGAAACUUGUGCUAAUACCGUAUGAUGUCUUCGGACCAAAGAUUUAUCGCCUAGGGAUGAGCCCGCGUAGGAUUAGCUAGUUGGUGGGGUAAAGGCGCACCAAGCCGACGAUCUUUAGCUGGUCUGAGAGGAUGAUCAGCCACACUGGGACUGAGACACGGCCCAGACUCCUACGGGAGGCAGCAGUGGGGAAUAUUGGACAAUGGGCGAAAGCCUGAUCCAGCAAUGCCGCGUGAGUGAUGAAGGCCUUAGGGUUGUAAAGCUCUUUUACCCGGGAUGAUAAUGACAGUACCGGGAGAAUAAGCUCCGGCUAACUCCGUGCCAGCCGCCGCCGUAAC
This 452-nucleotide ribosomal RNA is filed under the name uncultured bacterium. RNAcentral's name for it is "bacterial SSU rRNA". It matches the Rfam family "Bacterial small subunit ribosomal RNA", at positions 28 to 524 of the family's 1533-position model. The record is from RNAcentral.